RNAcentral lists this long non-coding RNA (482 nucleotides) under Gallus gallus (chicken). RNAcentral describes it as "long non-coding RNA NONGGAT006488". The record is from RNAcentral. Lineage: Eukaryota; Metazoa; Chordata; Aves; Galliformes; Phasianidae.
GCCAGCUGGAGCUAAAUGACAUCCAUGAAAGUUGAGCCUCAGAUACGUGGAAUGAGCAUCAACGGAACUACAAGCAAGAGAAAGGCUUGAGACUAGUGAAAGAGGUCUCUAGGCAAUGAGUUGCCUCCUACAUUAGUGGGAUGAGCUUACCUAUGGGAAGUUUUCCCUUCUGGAGAAUCCUCAGUGAGAGAGAUACUCCCUCCACCCCCUCCUUCUCUUCACAUUCUGCUGCUAAUGAGAGACUAAAGCUUUCUGUUGAGAUAAACAGCUAUGCCUACAAUAUAUAGCCCCAAAACAUCAAGGUAACACACCACAGUUUGCUGUGUUAGGUGGACAAGUGGACCAAUGCUGCUUCUGUAGUGGGAGAUAGGUCUGAAUAGGGAGACUCAAAUGUGGGACUCAUCCAUGGAUGAGAACAUGAGCAGUUUAGUGUGAGGGUACUACAUGUUCACUACAGCAAACAGGGAUACUGGGAGGAGUUU